This 22-nucleotide microRNA is filed under the name Ascaris suum (pig roundworm). RNAcentral's name for it is "asu-miR-252-3p". Its record names the gene asu-miR-252-3p. Lineage: Eukaryota; Metazoa; Nematoda; Chromadorea; Rhabditida; Ascarididae. The record is from miRBase by way of RNAcentral.
ACCUGCUCCCUGCUGCUUAACU